RNAcentral lists this ribosomal RNA (397 nucleotides) under uncultured bacterium. RNAcentral describes it as "partial 16S ribosomal RNA". It matches the Rfam family "Bacterial small subunit ribosomal RNA", at positions 523 to 918 of the family's 1533-position model. The record is from RNAcentral.
AUACGUAGGGGGCGAGCGUUGUCCGGAAUGAUUGGGCGUAAAGGGCGCGUAGGCGGCCCGGUAAGUCUGGAGUGAAAGUCCUGUUUUUAAGAUGGGAAUUGCUUUGGAUACUGUCGGGCUUGAGUGCAGGAGAGGUAAGUGGAACUCCCAGUGUAGCGGUGAAAUGCGUAGAGAUUGGGAGGAACACCAGUGGCGAAGGCGACUUACUGGACUGUAACUGACGCUGAGGCGCGAAAGUGUGGGGAGCAAACAGGAUUAGAUACCCUGGUAGUCCACACUGUAAACGAUGAAUGCUAGGUGUAGGGGGUAUCGACCCCUUCUGUGCCGCAGUCAACACAAUAAGCAUUCCGCCUGGGGAGUACGGCCGCAAGGUUGAAACUCAAAUGAAUUGACGGGG